UAACACGUGGGUAACCUACCCAUCAGAGGGGGAUAACACUUGGAAACAGGUGCUAAUACCGCAUAACAGUUUAUGCCGCAUGGCAUAAGAGUGAAAGGCGCUUUCGGGUGUCGCUGAUGGAUGGACCCGCGGUGCAUUAGCUAGUUGGUGAGGUAACGGCUCACCAAGGCCACGAUGCAUAGCCGACCUGAGAGGGUGAACGGCCACAUUGGGACUGAGACACGGCCCAAACUCCUACGGGAGGCAGCAUG
RNAcentral lists this ribosomal RNA (251 nucleotides) under uncultured bacterium. RNAcentral describes it as "partial 16S ribosomal RNA". It matches the Rfam family "Bacterial small subunit ribosomal RNA", at positions 111 to 353 of the family's 1533-position model. The record is from RNAcentral.